CUCAUUCGGACUGGAGUCUGCAACCCGACUCCACGAAGCUGGAUUCGCUAGUAAUCGCGCAUCAGCCACGGCGCGGUGAAUACGUUCCCGGGCCUUGUACACACCGCCCGUCACACCAUGGAAGUCUGCAAUGCCCGAAGCCGGUGGCCUAACCACUUAUGUGGAAGGAGCCGUCUAAGGCAGGGCAGAUGACUGGGGUGAAGUCGUAACAAGGUAUC
Molecule: ribosomal RNA, 218 nt
Filed under: uncultured bacterium
Lineage: Bacteria
Description: partial 16S ribosomal RNA
Rfam family: Bacterial small subunit ribosomal RNA
Source: RNAcentral